CCUAGGGGUGGCAGCAGUGGGGAAUAUUGGACAAUGGGCGAAAGCCUGAUCCAGCCAUGCCGCGUGUGUGAAGAAGGCCUUCGGGUUGUAAAGCACUUUCAGUGGGGAAGAAAGCCUUGGGGCUAAUACCCUCGAGGAAGGACAUCACCCACAGAAGAAGCACCGGCUAACUCCGUGCCAGCAGCCGCGGUAAUACGGAGGGUGCGAGCGUUAAUCGGAAUUACUGGGCGUAAAGCGCGCGUAGGCGGUCUGAUAAGUCGGUUGUGAAAGCCCCGGGCUCAACCUGGGAACGGCAUCCGGAACUGUCAGGCUAGAGUGCAGGAGAGGAAGGUAGAAUUCCCGGUGUAGCGGUGAAAUGCGUAGAGAUCGGGAGGAAGACCAGUGGCGAAGGCGGCCUUCUGGACUGACACUGACGCUGAGGUGCGAAAGCGUGGGUAGCAAACAGGAUUAGAUACCCGAGUAGUC
RNAcentral lists this ribosomal RNA (465 nucleotides) under Vreelandella stevensii. RNAcentral describes it as "partial 16S ribosomal RNA". It matches the Rfam family "Bacterial small subunit ribosomal RNA", at positions 338 to 795 of the family's 1533-position model. Lineage: Bacteria; Pseudomonadati; Pseudomonadota; Gammaproteobacteria; Oceanospirillales; Halomonadaceae. The record is from RNAcentral.